CAUCCUAAUUCCUAAGGAACUUAACCAAACAUGAAACAACAGAGUAAUCAACUUUGGAUAGCAGAAGUCUAGCUAUUUCCUUCCCAUGCACGAUGGUAGGAGACUGCAACACGUCAGUCUCCAGUGAUCCAUCAAUUUAGCAAUCCAGUUAGCUCUUGAUUAGGCCUGACUCUAUUUCUUAGCCACAAUAGGAUGGCUAUAUGGAGAUAACAGAUCCAUCAACCUAUACCUCUUCACUUUUUCCCCAACCAGCAGCACCGAUGCCAGACAUUUUGUUCAUAUAAGUUCCAGCAUCGCUAGAGGCUAGACCCCUGGAGAUAUCAGGACUUCCGACGAGUGGUAAAGGGGUUUGUUCGCCGGCAUUAGAUAGGGCGGCCGCCCUACCUUGCUCUACUAGUAGGUCCGUCACUGCUGCCAAGUAAGCCCCUAAACACUACCUUGCAGUCUCAUACUCUCAUUGACUGAGACAACAUAUCCUCUCCUAGAUCCUCACCAGAUUACAACCUUUGCUUGGCCAAUCAACUUUGUUUAAUUUUUUGGUGCAACUUAAUAUUGGUUUUAGUCUAUUUCAGCCCACUAACUAUCAGUGUCCCACGUCUAAUUGUGUUUAGGUGAAUGCUAUAUUAUUGGAGCCAAUGGCGGCGCGAUUUUUGUAACAUUGGGUGUACAUAAUUUUUUUAACAAAACUUAUGACUAUGUAUAAUAAAUAAAUAUUAACAACAACAUAUAAUAUAUUAUUAACAGUUUUAUCCCCUAUUUUUCGUGCACUUCAACUGAUUUCCUAAAUUUCUCCUACUUAAUAUUGAACUUUGUUCAUCUUUACGUGAAGAAAGAAAGGAAGAGUAGAAAAAAAAGAUAAAAAGAUCCUACAUCUAAGAAUGGAGUUGAAUGGAGUUGUCCUUAUGAUCUCCUAAAUUUCUUCUACUUAUUUUUCAUGUGUUUGAGCUCUUAAAAUGAUACGAGACCUUAAGUAGAGGCUUGAAUAGAGUUGUCCUUAUGACUCUAAUAUUUAUGGUCUCUUGUUAUGGAUGUG
Molecule: long non-coding RNA, 1033 nt
Filed under: Sorghum bicolor (sorghum)
Lineage: Eukaryota; Viridiplantae; Streptophyta; Magnoliopsida; Poales; Poaceae
Description: long non-coding RNA (SBIC_LNC001498)
Source: RNAcentral